CGCGGCCUAUCAGCUUGUUGGUGAGGUAAUGGCUCACCAAGGCGACGACGGGUAGCUGGUCUGAGAGGAUGUCCGGCCACACUGGGACUGAGACACGGCCCAGACUCCUACGGGAGGCAGCAGUGGGGAAUAUUGCACAAUGGACGAAAGUCUGAUGCAGCGACGCCGCGUGCGGGAUGAAGGCCUUCGGGUUGUAAACCUCUUUCAGCAGGGAAGAAACUGACGUGACCUGCCCAGCAAACCACGCCCCACUACAUGCCAUGCCCCCCGCCACUACAUAAGGUGCGGGGCUAGCCUUGAUUUGAAGUAUUGAGCGAACUCAUAUGGGAUUCGGUUUGUCGCAUCUGACAUGUCCGUCCUCGGCUUAAACGCGGAUCUCCAUACUGCCCUGACUAACUAUCGGGCAGGAAGUGAGACAGUCCUGCCGGAUGUAUGAAAGGAAUGCAUAUAUAGAAGAACGAACACCGAUGGCGAAGGCUCUCUCUGGAUUGUGACUGACGCUAAGGAACGAAAGCAUGGCGAGCAAAAUUAAAUACCCUGCCUGGUACGCAUGCCGUAGAGGUUGGGCACUGUGGGAGGGGACAUUCCACGGUUUGCCGCGCCGCAGCUAACGCAUUGCCCCGCCCCGCCUGGGGAGUACUCAAUCACGAAUUGAAUUCGCGCCCGCCUG
Molecule: ribosomal RNA, 670 nt
Filed under: uncultured Actinoplanes sp.
Lineage: Bacteria; Bacillati; Actinomycetota; Actinomycetes; Micromonosporales; Micromonosporaceae
Description: bacterial SSU rRNA
Rfam family: Bacterial small subunit ribosomal RNA
Source: RNAcentral